RNAcentral lists this unclassified non-coding RNA (366 nucleotides) under Hevea brasiliensis (rubber tree). Lineage: Eukaryota; Viridiplantae; Streptophyta; Magnoliopsida; Malpighiales; Euphorbiaceae. The record is from RNAcentral.
UAACGUUGGUGGAUUCACAAAUUUCAAUCUCGGUGACUGAAUCAAGAAGCAUGUCAAGCUCUGCUUCUGCAGCUGCUGCCUUAAAUGCAGACGGUUUAUUAGAAACACACAUCAGUGUAUCAUUCUGUCCAGCCUCAUCCUUAGAUGCAGUCGAAGGGUUAGAGGAUUCAUAAGCUAAAGUUGGAUGUCUGCUAUUGUUGCUUGUGGUGCCCAGAUGCGAAUCUUGAUGCCUGUUUUCAUUGCUUUUGUUAGUGGAAGUUAAUGAAUUGGAGUCUUUUUCGGCCGUUGAACUCUUGCUUGAAGCUAGAUCGCUGUCAUGUUUCUCUUUAGCUGCUGAUUGCGACUCCUGAUCGUUCAGUACCAAAG